Molecule: transfer RNA, 73 nt
Filed under: Segetibacter aerophilus
Lineage: Bacteria; Pseudomonadati; Bacteroidota; Chitinophagia; Chitinophagales; Chitinophagaceae
Also listed under: 15 other names
Rfam family: tRNA
About the family: Transfer RNA (tRNA) molecules are approximately 80 nucleotides in length. Their secondary structure includes four short double-helical elements and three loops (D, anti-codon, and T loops).
Source: Rfam by way of RNAcentral
GGGGAAUUAGCUCAGUUGGUAGAGCGCUUGCAUGGCAUGCAAGAGGUCAGCGGUUCGAACCCGCUAUUCUCCA